GUGGGGAAUCUUCCGCAAUGGACGAAAGUCUGACGGAGCAACGCCGCGUGAGUGAUGAAGGUCUUCGGAUUGUAAAGCUCUGUUAAUCGGGACGAAAGAGCCUAGUGUGAAUAAUGCUAGGAAGUGACGGUACCGGAAUAGAAAGCCACGGCUAACUACGUGCCAGCAGCCGCGGUAAUACGUAGGUGGCAAGCGUUGUCCGGAAUUAUUGGGCGUAAAGCGCGCGCAGGCGGAUCUGCCAGUCUGUCUUAAAAGUUUGGGGCUUAACCCCGUGAUGGGAUGGAAACUACAGAUCUAGAGUAUCGGAGAGGAAAGUGGAAUUCCUAGUGUAGCGGUGAAAUGCGUAGAUAUUAGGAAGAACACCAGUGGCGAAGGCGACUUUCUGGACGAAAACUGACGCUGAGGCGCGAAAGCCAGGGGAGCGAACGGGAUUAGAAACCCUUGUAGUCC
This 450-nucleotide ribosomal RNA is filed under the name uncultured bacterium. RNAcentral's name for it is "partial 16S ribosomal RNA". It matches the Rfam family "Bacterial small subunit ribosomal RNA", at positions 354 to 796 of the family's 1533-position model. The record is from RNAcentral.